Molecule: ribosomal RNA, 400 nt
Filed under: uncultured bacterium
Lineage: Bacteria
Description: bacterial SSU rRNA
Rfam family: Bacterial small subunit ribosomal RNA
Source: RNAcentral
GGGGAAUAUUGGACAAUGGGGGCAACCCUGAUCCAGCGAUGCCGCGUGAGUGAAGAAGGCCUUCGGGUUGUAAAGCUCUUUCACCUGAGACGAUAAUGACGGUAUCAGGAGAAGAAGCACCGGCUAACUCUGUGCCAGCAGCCGCGGUAAGACAGAGGGUGCUAGCGUUGUUCGGAAUGACUGGGCGUAAAGGGCGCGUAGGCGGCUUUUUAAGUCAGGCGUGAAAGCCCCGGGCUCAACCUGGGAACUGCGUUUGAUACUGAAGAGCUUGAGAGCGGAAGAGGAAAGUGGAAUUCCUAGUGUAGAAGUGAAAUUCGUAGAUAUUAGGAGGAACACCAGAGGCGAAGGCGACUUUCUGGUCCGCCACUGACGCUGAGGCGCGAAAGCGUGGGGAGCAAAC